This is an RNA transcript of Nymphaea colorata (pocket water lily), 2397 nucleotides long. It is a transcript of the gene named mitochondrial-processing peptidase subunit alpha-like, with no coding region annotated. The transcript has 14 exons. The record is from RefSeq and is a predicted model, not a curated record. NCBI's taxonomy places the organism in Eukaryota, Viridiplantae, Streptophyta, Magnoliopsida, Nymphaeales, Nymphaeaceae.
UCUCUACCCCUGAAAACAGAGCAGAUUGCCGCGCAUACCUGGUUUUUCCAAGUCCGGUCCGGUCCUGGCCGGCUGGCGCGGCUCCUCCGCGCGUUGGAUGAAGCUACAGGGGUCGAGGGCGCAGCCGAGGGUUCAAACUUGUAAGCAAAAGUCAUCCGCGAAGGCGGCGGGAAAGUCUCAGACAAAAAGAAGAAGGAGAAGAAGAUGUUGAGGGUCGCCCGACGCUUCCGACCCCUCAAGAUCACUGAAAAUGGAUUGGCUCCUGUCAGAUGCACAUCUGCGCAGGUUCACAAGGCACAGGACAUUUUGUUUAACCAAUCACUACGGGGAUCUCAUACCAAUUCCCAUGGAAAAUCAUUAGUGCACCCUCCUCUUUUUCAUCAUCUUCCAGGCCUUAAACUUCCUCCUUGUCUGUCUGAUUAUGUGGAACCUUGCCCUACAAAGAUCACUACACUUCCAAAUGGUUUGAAGAUUGCAUCUGAGAACAUCUUGCAGGGGCCCGCAGCCUGCAUAGGUCUUUUUGUUGACUGUGGUUCCAUAUAUGAGUCAGAAUGGUCCCAUGGUGUGACACAUCUUUUAGAAAGAAUGGCAUUCAAAAGCACGAGGAACCGAAGUCAUUUAUGUAUUGUACGUGAGAUGGAGGCUGUUGGAGGGAAUGUUUCUGCUUCUGCCUCAAGGGAGCAGAUGGGUUACUCAUAUGAUGUUUUGAAAUCCUAUCUACCUCAGGCCAUUGGAUUGCUUAUCGAUUGUGUUAGAAAUCCCUUGUUUCUUGAAAACGAAGUCAAGGAGCAGUUAACUAAGGUAAAAAGAGAAAUUGGAGAAAUUUCAGACAAUCCACAAAAUUUCCUUUUGGAAGCUCUUCAUCCUGUUGGUUAUUCUGGUGCAUUGGCGAAUUCGCUGAUGGCAUCUGAAUCUGCUAUAGACAGAUUGGAUGGUUCUAUCAUAAGAAAAUUUGUUGAUGAAAAUUACACUGCUGAAAGGAUGGUCUUAGCAGCAUCUGGGGUGGAUCAUGAAGAACUAUUGACUAUUGCAGAACCACUGCUGUGUGAUGUAAGAAGUGGUGCUCCCUUGGAGGAGCCAAGGUCCAUCUAUGUUGGUGGUGAUAUUAGGUACCCAGCAGACUCGCAGAAGACUCAUGUGGCAUUAGCUUUCGAAGUACCUGGAGGUUGGCGUGAAGAGAAUGAUGCAACAGCAGUGGCUGUUUUGCAGACCCUCAUGGGAGGCGGCGGUUCAUUUUCUGCUGGUGGCCCAGGGAAGGGGAUGCAUUCUCGCUUAUAUUUACGUGUCUUAAAUAAAUACCUGCAGAUCGAUGCCUUCUCUUCUUUCAGUAGUAUAUAUAAUCAGACUGGGAUGUUCGGAAUCCAUAUAACUACGGGAUCAGAUUUUGUGGCAGAUGCAGUUGAAAUUGCAACAGAAGAAUUACUGGCUGUUGCUAUCCCUGGAGAAGUUACUGAGGCGGAAUUGUAUCGAGCCAAGAAUGCUACCAGAUCAGCUGUUUUGAUGAACCUAGAAUCAAGAAUGAUCAUUUGUGAAGAUAUUGGCAGACAAAUUUUGACAUAUGGAAACUGGAAGCCGGUUGAGCAUUUUCUGAAGGCUAUAGAUGAAUUGACUCUUGAUGGCCUUACAAUGAUUGCUAAGAAGAUCGUUGCUUCUCCACUUACAAUGGCUUCAUGGGGGGAUGUUGGUCGUGUCCCGAGCUAUGAUUCUGUCUGUCAGCAAUUCCACUAAAAUUGAGUUUUGGUUGCUCCAAACCUGCUGAAAUUUGGCAUCUGGUUUUCCCCAUAACUUAUGUUAUCAUUAUGAAGGAAAUGGACUUCCUGUGGCUUGUUUGGAGUUCUCUGCUUUGACAUGCACUGUCCAUAUCAUGGCAUCAUAACGUGUUUCUUUUUCUAGCUCGAUGUUGACAGGAGAGCCGACUUGACCAAACAGGAACCUGGUCAGUUUUAGGGGGUUGACAGAAGGAGCCCCGUCUCCAUGAAAAUCAAUAAAACUCGGACGUUGAUUUUUCUUUUCCUUUUAAUCAUCCGACGAGCAGAACUUAUUAAAGAACCUCAGAUUGGUUGGAAACAACAAUGAAACCCUCAGACUGAUUAAACUAAUAAUACUUUGUCGUUUUCGGCACCAAUCAUUUGUGAUGCGUCAUAUGUGAUAGUGGUUUGGAAAUUGGAGACUGAAAAAGGGUGGAGAAAAGAAAAGAAAAGAAAAGAAAAAAAAAGAAAAGAAAAGGAGAAUUGUGGUGGACUGAAAGAACAUGGUGCCAAACGUGAAGAAAUAAAAAAGGUGGGUCUUCUAUGGAGGCUUCUCACUUAUUUCCUCUGGUCUUCAUCUUUCUGCUGUGUUUGACAAUGAAACCUGCUAAUGGUGUGGCCCCAUUGGGGAGGCGUGGCUUCGUUACGU